Long non-coding RNA from Chenopodium quinoa (quinoa), 3591 nucleotides. RefSeq lists it as uncharacterized. The transcript has 2 exons. The record is from RefSeq and is a predicted model, not a curated record. NCBI's taxonomy places the organism in Eukaryota, Viridiplantae, Streptophyta, Magnoliopsida, Caryophyllales, Amaranthaceae.
UUAAAUAGAACUACACUUGGUAUAACUGACUGGGAAACUCUUGUUUUGAAUUUCUAUAACAAGUAUUAUCCUGAAGAGAGAACAGCCCUACUACGGAGUGCGAUCCAGAAUUUUGCCCAAGAAGCCGACGAAUCUUUAUAUGAGGCUUAUAUUUCCUCCAUUUCUAUUCAGUUGACGCGCGUUCAAUUUAGACAGACAAGUUAACUUAUUAAGGAGAGGAGAGAGAGUGAGAGAGAAUGAUAAAGCAAGUACGGUAGCUAGUAAAUGCAAUAUGUAAAACUUACCCAAAAAGAAAACAUGUCAACUAAAAAAAAACUUCCUAAAAAUGAAUAUGUGUCAACUAAUAAAACGAAGAUAAGUAUCUAUUAUGAUGUAUUGUCCCAUUAUUAUAUAAUACUAGUAUAUGGGAAAUGGAAAAUUAGUGAAAGUGAAAAAAGAGAAGGGAGUAUAUUAGCAAACGAAAUUACAAUUUUGCCAUUACUGUAGAAUGUUUUUGGCGGUUAGAUUGAAUCUAAUCUACGGCUAAGAUGUCUUCUAAUUGGGUUUUUCACUCUCUAAAUUCCAUCCACUCUCUAGAAACCCUAGUUCAUGCUACUUCGUGAAUUAGAAAAUGGAUUCGAAUCAAAUACUACCAACAUCUCCUGAUAUUACUUAUGAAAGAAGGAAAUCAAUCGAUUCACAAAGCACGGAUAAAUCUCCAAUACAAGUCAUUUGUCCAUCAAAUCAGUAAGUAGUGAUUUUAUUAGGGUUUAAUUAUUUGAUUUUUUGUUUAAUUUUUAAAUUAUCAUGUUUGAACACGAAAAUUUGGGCUCAAAUUUGCUCGAAUUUGGGAGGGUUUGGCUCGAAUUUUCUGAGCAUAUACAUUGUUAGUCGAAUUCCAUGGGUUUUUGGUGCCAAAUUUUUUAGGUUUUGGGGUCGCUUUUAGAAAUCAUUUUUAGAUGCUUAUAACCUGUUCGAUAAAAUGCCAAGUUGAAAUUUAACUACAUGUUGCGUAUAUGAUUAUGGAAAUCAAUAUUGUUGUUUUGACUAUCUUUAUUUUGUGGUAUUUGUCAUAUUAUUAUCUGAAUACAAAUUAUUUGAGGUAGUGAUUUGUAUAUAGGCUAUUGAAGCUGCUCUAGGUUAGCGUAGUAGAUCCCCUAAAAAAAACUGUUUUUUCACCAAAUGCCCCUGAGUAAUUUUUUUAUUCACUAAAUACCCAUCAAAAUUUUCAAAAAUACUCCUGAGUUUAAGAAAAAUGUCAUUAAAUGCCCAAAUGACUAACGGAAGUUAACUCCGUUAGUCAUUAAAGCCUAAUUAUGCCACGUGGAAUAAUUUUAUUGGUUGUUUAUAUAAUUAUUUUAAAUUAUAAAAUAAUUAAUUGAUUAUUUAUCAUAAAUAAUAUGCCACGUGGAAGCAUAUUAUUCGUAUUUUUCAAUUAUUUUUUUUAUUUAAAAAAAUCACCUUUUAACCCCCACUAGCCAGCCACCUUAGCGCAGCCACCGCUCCACAACCGCCACCCAGCCAGCAUAUCUUCCGCCGGCGCCUAGACCCCCUCCUCAUCGCUCCAGCGCCGCCCGUCCCCUUAACCCUGCACUACUGCCCGUUAGUUGAACCACCAUACCCGACCUCAUCCCUCCUCUAUAAUUGUAAAAAUCCCUCACUGUCUUUCCACCUUAACCAAACAUCCGACAACCACUUCGGCCGAAACUUAUCCCUUAUCUCGUACAUAUAACACAACCACUCAUUUCCUUCCAAUUGAAACUCAACCAUCACCUUAUUCCACCUUUCUUCAAACUCAGCAGGCUCUACUUUAUCUGGCAACUUUUUCAUUAUAUGCCACAUACAUAACCGAUGUUCAGAUUUUUGAAACACUCUACUACCAGCAAUUUUCAAAGCUGGAUCUUGAUAUGUGAUCAAACAAUUGGGUUCAUUAUUUCCCAUUGCCUUAAAAAAUGUUUUGAAAACCCACUCAAAUGAUUCAAUAUCUCCCUUUGCUAUGAAACCAGCAGCAAAAGUGAUACAACUCUUGUGAUUAUCAACUCCUGUAAAUGGAGUAAAUACCUUGUUAUACCUGUUUAGAACAGUACAUGAACAUCAAAUUUCAUUACAUAUAAAAUAUAGCACUACGUUUUUUGAACAUGUGAAAAAAAAAUUUGAACAUAUGAGUAAAAAGUUAGAACACGUGAUUAAAUAUUUAGAACAUAUGAUUUGAUAUUUAGAACACAUGAUUUCAUAGUUAGUUGUUAAAGCUUAUGAGCAUAUAAAACAAAUUUGGAACAUAAGACUAAAAAUAUAGAACAUUAGAAGCAAUUUUUAGAACAUUCAAAACAUAAAUCAGAACAUAAGAUGUGAGCUCUAGAGAGACAAGAAUCAUCAUCAACUUCAAAAUCAAAGAAAAAAGCACUCCACGUCAACUUUUUCUUUGUGAAAUUGUGUACAAACAUUUUAGCAUCGGAACUUUGAAUGAAUGCUUUUGAAUCUCAUGUGAAAAAUUUUAAAAUCUUGCUUGGAAGCGCCAACAUUUUCAUAGUCUCCACGUAUUUCCUUCAUCAUUCGAAAAGUUUUUACAUGACCAAUAUUCACCUAUUAUAUAUAGGCACAAAAUAGUUUUAUAACAUAUAAAGAAACUUUUGGAACCUAAGUAUCAUUUUAGAUUAAAAGAGUAAAAAUUUAGAAUACAUGAUUAAAUAUUUAGAGCACAUGAUUUAAACUUUAGAACAUAUGAAUAAAAAUUUAUCUACGUAAGUAAUUAUAAGUGAAAUUUAGAAUAAAUAAUUAAAGAUUUAGAACAUGUGAGUAAUAUUUUAGACCAUACGAGUAAAAGUUUAGAACGCUAGAGUAAAAAUUUAUGAUAGAGUAACCUUUGAUCAACAAUCAUUUUUUUGGUGCAAAAUGUUCAUCUUUCUUCCUUCUUUUUGAAAUAGAUUACAACUUGGUGUGUAGAGGGGAUGCGUAUGUCCUUUGUGGCAGUGGUGGACCUAGAAAUUUGACAAUAGGGGGGACAAUUUCGAUAAUUCAACUAACAUCAAACUGUUUUUUUAAAAAAAAAAACGGGUACACAAUACAAAUAAUCCGGGUACAUACUUGUUUAAUACUAAAAAGUUACAAUCCCAAAAUCUAUUGAAUAAUACAAUUCGGUUAUAUAGUACUAAAAUAUCCUCAGAAUCUUCAUUCUUUGAAAUCGAACAAUGAUAUCUUCAUCGGGCGCUUGUAAAAACACUUAUUUCUCAAUGAAAGUAACCAAAAAAUCAUUCAUAAGUUGAUCACCAUACUAUUUCUCAAUUUAUUUUUGAUAUAUGUCAUUGUCGUAAAGACUUUUUCAACACUUGUUGUAGCAAUACACAAAGUUACAAACUAAUUUAUAUAUUAAUUAAAUUCACAAACUACUUGUCUAAUUUCAAAGUUUCAACCUUCCAUUCACCAUAUUCACAAAAUAAUUCACAAAAUCACAAAUUCACAAUUCAAUUCACAAACUAAUAACAAAUAAACUAAAUCACAAAUUAAUUCAAAAAUAUGAUUACAUAAACACAAUUACUCAAUACUCAUAAACUAAUUCUUUAAUUUUUUAUCAUCUAAGAUAAAAAUUUGGAAAUAAUCCCAAAAAAAAAAAAA